GCCAGUCAGCGCGCAGCGUGCUCGAUAAUGAGGCACACAGCGAAGUUUUAUUUGCAGCGAGUUGUACGGUCUCGGACCUUCGAGAAUUCACGAGGUUUCGCGAGCGUUCGGCAGUGCCCCUGGAAGAUCGACGAGAAACCCGUUUUCGCGGCAGUGUUGGGCCAACAUGGAGGGGUCAAGUACGCAGAGUGAUUUACCCAUUUUCCCUGUCAAGAUGGUUGGACACAACAUCCGCACUGGAAGAUGAACAUGACCAAUUUUAAUGGAACUCUAUUAUUUUACCAUGGAUUGAACUUUCCCAUUUUUGUGGUACAACCGGAUUUUGCAUGUUUAAUUCAAUGACGUGUGAUCAACAACUCACAAACUGACGAAUCAGGCGCCGGGGAUUCUUACGCCAUGUCGCAUGGAAUAUUGCAUGUAUUGUUCGUUGAUAAAAAAACCCGAGGAAUAAGCACUUUCAUGGUACAUGUAAUAUGCGCCAUCUUGUUCACAUAGCAAGAAGAACAAGCAUUGCUAGAUGCGGACACAUUUUGUAAUGUACACAUUUUGGAAUGAACGCAUGAUGACUUGGAAGCACAAAAGGUUUUGUUUGAUGACGUGUAGACUGCAACGCAUGUAAAUUUGCCCGGUAAGAAAAAUGACGCAUUACAGUGAAAAAAAAUAAUCAGUUCAAUCAAAUUUCUCUAAAUAUCAACUUCCAGUUUUAUUUCACAAAUUAAUCAAUGUCAGUAGCCUUUAUGCUGUAUAUUGAAAACCGAUAAUACAAUACAAACCUCUGCGAACGACUGUACACUGCACUCGAAGUACAUAUCGAUGUUCUGAAAAUACGCAGACUGCGUAACAUUAUGAACCACUGGCAACUUUGCUGAUCGUCUGCGAAACAGUUUGCAUCUGUCUGAGUUGUCGGCGACACUUCCAGAUGAAAUGUUUCCAUAUUAUCUGUUCUGCAGUUUUGGUCCCUUUUUUUUGUUUCACUUUGCGUUUCUUACGUUGAGAUGGAAACUAGCCUGAAUAGAAUUGAUUGCUUGUUAGUUUGUAACCAUUGCAAUCUUAAAUUUGUAUUAUUUGUUCUUAUACGCCUGCAUUCUUACCCUUGUAAUUAUUAAGAAAUGCAAUUUAUUGUUAUUGCCAAGGGCUGGAGCGGUUGAAUAAUCUUGCCUUAAAACAAAUUGCUGACACGUGGAAUUUUAUAAGCUCAUGGUCUUAUACAUGUCGCAAGAGUAUAGUUACUGUACAUGUACAUUGUACAUCAGUGUUCUCCAGAGCAUUAAAAACCUCACACAAUAAAGAAACUGUGCCUUAAUUUUCAUGUUCACUUUUUUUUUUAGAUCUAUAUUUGUAAGUUAUUCCAUGUUGUGAGAAACUUUCAUUUGUAAAGUUUUUUUUCUUGGAAACUGAAAGUGGUUCAAAUAUUAAAGUGUUUCAGUAUACCUUAAUGUUUAACUAAAUGCAGCUGAAAGUAUGUAAUUGUGAUUUCAUGAAUAAAGUGUUUCCCAGAAUUUCAGUCAAGAAAAGAGA
This 1518-nucleotide long non-coding RNA is filed under the name Patiria miniata (bat star). RNAcentral describes it as "uncharacterized LOC119722880". The record is from RNAcentral. Lineage: Eukaryota; Metazoa; Echinodermata; Asteroidea; Valvatida; Asterinidae.